UGAACCAGUGCUGAGAAUAGGUUAUGAUCUAAUCAUAAUGUUGAAUCCAUUUCUUUGUACCUGAAGUCCAAG
This 72-nucleotide small nucleolar RNA is filed under the name Pteropus vampyrus (large flying fox). Its description in RNAcentral is "Small nucleolar RNA SNORD112 (ENSPVAG00000029323.1)". The record is from RNAcentral. Lineage: Eukaryota; Metazoa; Chordata; Mammalia; Chiroptera; Pteropodidae.